RNAcentral lists this ribosomal RNA (520 nucleotides) under uncultured Glomus. Its description in RNAcentral is "SSU rRNA". It matches the Rfam family "Eukaryotic small subunit ribosomal RNA", at positions 569 to 1093 of the family's 1831-position model. Lineage: Eukaryota; Fungi; Glomeromycota; Glomeromycetes; Glomerales; Glomeraceae. The record is from RNAcentral.
AGCAGCCGCGGUAAUUCCAGCUCCAAUAGCGUAUAUUAAAGUUGUUGCAGUUAAAAAGCUCGUAGUUGAAUUUCGGGGUCAGUAGGUCGGUCGUGCCACUGGUAUGAACUGGUUUUACUGAUUCCUCCCUCUUGAAGAACUGUAAUGCCAUUAAUUUGGUGUUGCAGGGAACCAGGACUGUUACUUUGAAAAAAUUAGAGUGUUUAAAGCAGGCUUUAGCUUGAAUACAUUAGCAUGGAAUAAUGAAAUAGGACGUUUGAUCCUAUUUUGUUGGUUUCUAGGAUUGACGUAAUGAUUAAUAGGGAUAGUUGGGGGCAUUAGUAUUCAAUUGUCAGAGGUGAAAUUCUUGGAUUUAUUGAAGACUAACUACUGCGAAAGCAUUUGCCAAGGAUGUUUUCAUUAAUCAAGAACGAAAGUUAGGGGAUCGAAGACGAUCAGAUACCGUCGUAGUCUUAACCAUAAACUAUGCCGCUAGGGAUCGGAUGAUGUAAUUUUUAAUGACUCAUUCGGCGCCUUACGG